AUGAACGUUAGCGGCGCGCCUGAUGCAUGCAAGUCGAACGGUCUAUUGUUUCGCAAGAAGUAAUAGAUAGUGGCGAACGGCUGAGUAACGCGUAAGUAACCUACCUCUAAGUGGGGAAUAACCUGUCGAAAGGCAAGUUAAUACCGCAUGUGCUAACUUGUGAAAACUUGUUAGUAAAGCCUUCGGGCGCUUGGAGACGGGCUUGCGUCUGAUUAGCUAGUUGGUUGGGGUAAUGGCCUACCAAGGCGAUGAUCAGUAGCUGGUCUGAGAGGACGACCAGCCAGACAGGGACUGAGACACGGCCCUGACUCCUACGGGAGGCAGCAGCAAGGAAUUUUGCGCAAUGGGCGAAAGCCUGACGCAGCGACGCCGCGUGAGGGAUGAAGGCCUUCGGGUUGUAAACCUCUUUUCUUGAGGAAGAAUUAUGACGGUACUCAGGGAAUAAGUCUUGGCUAACUACGU
This 462-nucleotide ribosomal RNA is filed under the name uncultured bacterium. RNAcentral describes it as "bacterial SSU rRNA". It matches the Rfam family "Bacterial small subunit ribosomal RNA", at positions 29 to 506 of the family's 1533-position model. The record is from RNAcentral.